GCCUGGGUGGCUCAGUCGGUUGAGCGUCUGACUUUGGCUCAGGUCAUGAUCUCACGGUUCAUGGGUUCGAGCCCCACAUCAGGCU
RNAcentral lists this transfer RNA (85 nucleotides) under Felis catus (domestic cat). It matches the Rfam family "tRNA". From Rfam's summary of the family: Transfer RNA (tRNA) molecules are approximately 80 nucleotides in length. Their secondary structure includes four short double-helical elements and three loops (D, anti-codon, and T loops). Further hydrogen bonds mediate the characteristic L-shaped molecular structure. tRNAs have two regions of fundamental functional importance: the anti-codon, which is responsible for specific mRNA codon recognition, and the 3' end, to which the tRNAs corresponding amino acid is attached (by aminoacyl-tRNA synthetases). tRNAs cope with the degeneracy of the genetic code in two manners: having more than one tRNA (with a specific anti-codon) for a particular amino acid; and 'wobble' base-pairing, i.e. permitting non-standard base-pairing at the 3rd anti-codon position. Lineage: Eukaryota; Metazoa; Chordata; Mammalia; Carnivora; Felidae. The record is from Rfam by way of RNAcentral.